Long non-coding RNA from Rhinopithecus roxellana (golden snub-nosed monkey), 794 nucleotides. RefSeq lists it as uncharacterized. The record is from RefSeq and is a predicted model, not a curated record. NCBI's taxonomy places the organism in Eukaryota, Metazoa, Chordata, Mammalia, Primates, Cercopithecidae. The transcript is spliced from 3 exons.
CCGCCCCUCGGCCUCCUCUCCUCCCCACCUUCUCCCGCGAACCCACACUCACAAAGAGCCGAGGGGAAAGAGGGUGCGCAGACGGGCAGCCAGGCCGCGCCAGGCACAUACUGGAGACAGGAAGUGGCUGAGAGGGGGAGAGAGAGUUGGAGAGAGACGGCCGCGGAGGACACGGGGACGGGAAAGUCUCAGAGACGGGGAGAGCCUGACCCGGCGGGACACAGGCAAAAAGAAACACGCGAGCCAGAGAGACGCAGAAGAAACGUGCCUGGUACUGGAUAGGAACUUCAUGGAAUGGAGCUAAUGGGCCCUAGGGCAGGUUCGAGUCGUGCCACCCUGGAGGGGAAGGUGGAGGGUAGGGAUAAGGGGGCGGAGCACCUGAUUCCAGUCUUGCAGCAGGGAAGAAGAGUCUGUAAAGAAGUGCGUGAUGACGGUGUGUCCUCCCCACCCAGAAACUGGCAUUUGGGAGGGGUGGAUAUGGUUGGGACUGGGAAGCCUUGAUCUUACUGCUCUUGGUUGAGUUGGUGUUCAAUAGACAGUUUCAGAGGUUAGAGCAGUGGGAGUCACUGGGCACUGGGGACAGGAGAGGAGUGGGUUGGGGGAGCCAGGCAGGAACGAGUAGGGAGGCACUGGGAGGAAGGGAGAGGCAAGAGUUAGGGGAAUACCGAGGAGAGUGGCAGGGAUUGGAGGCUCCUGGAGAAAGGGCAGGGCUGAAGGUUGUCCCGUGUAUUUUGGCCAGAUUUGAUUAUGUAAUCGAGAUACACGAGAUAAUUAAAUGUGUUCAUGUCUUUGGA